Small nuclear RNA from Oryctolagus cuniculus (rabbit), 137 nucleotides. Its record names the gene U2. It matches the Rfam family "U2 spliceosomal RNA". Rfam says of the family: U2 is a small nuclear RNA (snRNA) component of the spliceosome (involved in pre-mRNA splicing). NCBI's taxonomy places the organism in Eukaryota, Metazoa, Chordata, Mammalia, Lagomorpha, Leporidae. The record is from Ensembl.
AUCGCUUCUUGGCCUUCUGGCUAAGAUCAAGUUUGUUAUCUGUUCUUAUCAGUUUAAUAUCUGAGGUAUCUCUUAGUGUAUUCUGCAAUGGCUACACCAGUUUACAUUACCACCAACAGUGGAUUAGAGUACCUUUU